Molecule: long non-coding RNA, 2970 nt
Organism: Topomyia yanbarensis
Lineage: Eukaryota; Metazoa; Arthropoda; Insecta; Diptera; Culicidae
Exons: 3
Source: RefSeq, a predicted model, not a curated record
AUAGUUUUUGUAACAUCAUUUCUCAAAAUUCUGUAUAUCUGUACAUACACGCAAAAAUCUGUAUAUCUGCACAUACAGAUUCUUGGUCUGAAAAUGGCUGAAAAAUCUGUAUAAAUACAGAUUAUUCUGUAUUUUUGGUAACCCUGUCCAGAUAUAUACACUCAAGCUCGUAUGCAUAGAACCACCUAGUUGGCGUGUUUGAAUUUGAUGGGUGAGCUUAGCCCAUAAAUUUCCCUAAUUUGACAUCUACAUCCAGCGAUGCCAGAUUUACAGACAUGUCUGUAUUUUACAGACUUUUGAUGUCUCCUACAGACGUAGCCAGAGAUCUACAGACUUUUAAAAUGGUAAUAGUGUUUAGUAAAAUUGCACUAGAAUAACUAUUUUCGAAUACGAGUGAUUCCUUUACAAUAGAAUUCUACUUUCAAUCUAUUUUUAAAGUAAAAGUUUAGCGUAAUUACAAUUUACACAACCAUCUACAGACUUUUACAGACAUUUUAGUUAUUUUUCUACAGACAUUUCAAAAAAACAUGUGGCAUCGCUGUCUACAUCAGUCAAUAGAUGGAUCCACCAUGAAAAGGGUUACGAAAUCGGAAACAAACCAUACGUCAAACUUCGGGCUAGUUCGGAGUUUGGGUUUCCACCAACUUCACUAGUGAGCUUGGCAUAUUAACAAGAUUACUUCUUUCCGUCGGUGUCCAUCCCAGAGAAUGGACGUGCGCGUCGCGUUGAACUUAAGUAAUUGUAAAGUGUUGGAAAUUACAGCAAAGUGUGUGAAAUUGUUAAAUUAGAACAGAGCAAGUUAGUUAAAAGACAAGUUAAAAAGUAGAAACACCACAUUACAGCUAAACGACAAGUUAAGAACGGUAACAGUACGAGGAUAAAAUUGUAAAACAAAACCUAGCAACGCUAUAGGACAAGUUAAAAAGCUACACAUAAAGGAAAAGGUCCGUCAAACGGGCCUUUUUUCCUACGUAUGAUCCGAUUUCGGAUCAAGGUUCUAGUCUAUUUCCUUCAAUAGGACCCGUACGGCUCGUAAACUACGAGGUGUUGAAGGUUCAACCUAGCCGCACCAGCCACGUGUCGCUAUGUUAUCACACAGAUCAAUGCACGGACGGAAAUUUACAGACCGGAAGAUAGCCCAAUACAAAAAGGGACUUCUCACCGGUUGGCUGAGCCGAACGACGAUCAGCAACGGCCAAUGUUUCGAAGGCCUAUUCUGCGGAACCAUCUACACCAGCAGGUUUUGCAGAAACCAGAACUACAACCACGAUGAUUGUCUGCUGCAAACAGACUCCAAGCAACGCCGCUGCAAACCCCGGGGUUCUACGAUAGACAACGAACGAAAAUCCAGCAUUAGCAAAACCGCAAGUACAAACGUGUCGUCACCAAUUAGAGCCUCCAAAUUAUAUUUUUUUGUAAAGUUUAGCUUUAGAAUAUACGUUUAGUUUUAAGAAUUUCACACCUUCUUUUGCAUACAAUCCGGGUUUAUAAAGAAACCAGCAGGCCUCGCUCUGGAAGGGUUAGUUGGGGAAGAUCGAAUCUUGUGGCUUUUGAGCAGCCCUAUGGUAGGAAAACGGUUUCAUUUCCCUCGUCACGUAACCCAUCAAUUGACAGGUGAGAGGUCUACCUGUACGGUUCUCCCACAGGUGAGUGGAAUGCAAACUCUGCUGACAAACGACCCUGCUGAUCCACCAUCCCCUCUGCACGUAACAAAACAAGAUGUCCGAGUUACAUUCGAAAGAAGCUCUAAUGUGGUUCAACCGAGUUCAAUCAAUGUUCUUGAACGGGAAGUCGGAAUCGGGUCUUUUCAAGAACGUUUAUUAGUUCCCGGGCCUCAACCUCGGCGCAACGUGAAAAUUUAAAGAAUACGAAGGCAAAGACAGAAAUUACGGAAGAUAUAAUAAAUUUAAGGACAAGCCAAAAGAUAGUAAAGCAAAUAUGUGGUUAUUCCGGGGGUACGCAAGGGAAGACAUUCUUAACGGUUUUUAACCGAAACUGUUUUGUUACGUCAGCAAAACUUUUUACGUGAUUAUCUAUAAAUGAGCAAACAUCCGACUGCAUUGUAACAUUACUUUGACCCUCCCAAUUCACAAAAGAACUUGGCGUAAUUGAACUGAAACACCUGCUUCUCGUUGUGUCAGUGGGAUGCUACAUCUUACCUUUAUCUGAAGUCUUCCGGGGAUUCAUAUUCGCCGCGGCAUAUUCGCCAAUGCCGUUCUGAUCACCGCCUUAGGAGAGCGGAGCCAUUUCCACGUACAUACGAAAUCAUUGUUCGUAAGUUGAACUAAAAAGAAUGACAAAGUCAACACUAAAGGGGUGUAAAAGGCCAGAAGCUCACACUACGGCGCUGUCUAUGGAAUACGUUGUAGUAUAGUAUAGAUUUUACAGGUUUUAUUGAUGCAGCGCACUAAAAGUGUGAUCCACCAGACAUAUGUUUCGUUUUGGUUAUUAUUAUGAUCGCCAAUGAGUUUUAAUUUUUCAUACAGCACGUCAAUAAUUAAAAUUACCCUUAUUAUCCUUCUUUAUAUCAUGAGCUGUUCUUUCGAAUUAUAAACCGUUCGAUCCAAACGACAGCCAACUUUAUCAUUUCUGGAUAUAGCCAAAUUUUCCAAACGAUGAUUUAUUGAAUGCAUUUUCAUAUAUUGAAUCAACGGUUGUUACACUGCUGCGAAUCCAGUGUAAUGCAAAGCCGCUGAGGAUCGGUCGGAUGAGGUGGCCGCCGACCCGCCGUCGGAACCGGUGGCCCCUUGCAAGCAAACCCGUGAUCCACUCGUUGGCCUGGAUUACUUAAACAUAGAAUUAGUUUAAGUCCGACGGAGCGACAGCGAUUUCGGACAGCACGCGACUUGAAGCGAUGUGGCCUAACCACAAUAGGCAUAAAUGUGGGGGCGGGCCAUUUGGCGUAAAGUCAUUUGCCAAAAUGAACAUAUGGCAUAACGGUUAUUUGGCAUAAUUUUGAGAAUUGAUCAC